UGAAGGAAAGAAAAAAUGAACCUAUCUUAGUAGGUCAUUUUAGAUAGAAAGGAAUGUUGUGGGGACAUGGAAUUCAGAUUUGCUGCAGGAUAUCACUCUACACCUCAUCAUAAUUUAAUCAAGAGUGACAUCUUGAAGUAUCAAACAACCAUUUUGUUUAUCAUUUCAGUGGGUUUGGAGUACUCUGUCCUCCACAAUAGAAGAAAAAUAAACAAACAGAUGAGAAUUAUGAUUACAGGAAAGAAUCAGAUGACAUGCAGUUGGCAUGAUGAGGGCAGAGAAAAGAAUGUGACCGGGGAAAAAACAAGGGAGAAAAACAUCUUUCCCCG
Molecule: long non-coding RNA, 329 nt
Filed under: Androctonus crassicauda
Lineage: Eukaryota; Metazoa; Arthropoda; Arachnida; Scorpiones; Buthidae
Source: RNAcentral